Molecule: ribosomal RNA, 500 nt
Filed under: uncultured bacterium
Lineage: Bacteria
Description: partial 16S ribosomal RNA
Rfam family: Bacterial small subunit ribosomal RNA
Source: RNAcentral
AUUGAACGCUGGCGGCAUGCCUUACACAUGCAAGUCGAACGGCAGCACGGGAGCAAUCCUGGUGGCGAGUGGCGAACGGGUGAGUAAAGUAUCGGAACGUGCCCAGUCGUGGGGGAUAACGUAGCGAAAGUUACGCUAAUACCGCAUACGAUCUAUGGAUGAAAGCGGGGGAUCGCAAGACCUCGCGCGAUUGGAGCGGCCGAUAUCAGAUUAGGUAGUUGGUGGGGUAAAGGCUCACCAAGCCGACGAUCUGUAGCUGGUCUGAGAGGACGACCAGCCACACUGGGACUGAGACACGGCCCAGACUCCUACGGGAGGCAGCAGUGGGGAAUUUUGGACAAUGGGCGCAAGCCUGAUCCAGCCAUGCCGCGUGCAGGAUGAAGGCCUUCGGGUUGUAAACUGCUCUUGUGCGGAACGAAAAGGUUUGACUUAAUACGUUGGACUCAUGACGGUACCGUAAGAAUAAGCACCGGCUAAUUCCGUGCCAGCAGCCGCCGUAA